UGAGCAGACAACAUAAUCAAACUUCGGUGUCAGAGUACGCAGAAUCUUCUCUGCAAUGGCCACAUCUUCCAUUUUUUCACCAUGAAACCUCAUUUUAUUACUUAUCUCCAUGGUUCUUGCAAUAUAACUAGUAAUGGACUCACCAUCCUUCAUUUGUAGGAUUUCAAAAUCCCGUUUCAAGGCUUGAAGCUGUGCUCGCUUUACUCUUGCUGAACCUGCAUAUUUCUUUUUCAUUGAGUCCCAAAUUUGUUUGGAAGUAUCUUUGCAUAUGAUAGUUUCCAAAAUGGAACGAUCAAUGGCUUGGAACAAGUAAUUCUUUGCUUUGAAAUCCUUCAAUUUCAGCCCUUCAAUUUCUGUUUUCUGCACAUCCGUUGGAGUUGCUCCAUCUGCUGAUUCUGGAAUUCCAACUGAAACGAUUUGCCAGUACUCCUUCGAUCUCAGAAAAUUUUCCAUCAACAUGCUCCAAUGAUCAUAGUGACCAUCAAAACGAGGA
This 493-nucleotide unclassified non-coding RNA is filed under the name Hevea brasiliensis (rubber tree). Lineage: Eukaryota; Viridiplantae; Streptophyta; Magnoliopsida; Malpighiales; Euphorbiaceae. The record is from RNAcentral.